This 161-nucleotide ribosomal RNA is filed under the name uncultured bacterium. RNAcentral describes it as "partial 16S ribosomal RNA". It matches the Rfam family "Bacterial small subunit ribosomal RNA", at positions 355 to 509 of the family's 1533-position model. The record is from RNAcentral.
UGGGGAAUUUUGGACAAUGGGCGCAAGCCUGAUCCAGCAAUGCCGCGUGCAGGAAGAAGGCCUUCGGUUGUAAACUGCUUUUGUACGGAGCGAAAAGGCUCUCUCUAAUACAGGGGGCUGAUGACGGUACCGUAAGAAUAAGCACCGGCUAACUACGUGCC